UACCCGCAGCACAAGUGGUGGUCAUUAUUAUUGGGCCUAAAGCGUCCGUAGCUGGCCUGUUAGAUGCCUGGGUAAAUCGAUGCGCUCAACGUAUCGAAUUCCGGGUAGACCGGCAGGCUCGGGACCGGGAGAGGCGUGAGCUACUCGGGGGGUAGGGGUAAAAUCCUGUAAUCCUCCGGGGAGGACCAGUGGCGAAGGCGUCACGCUAGAACGGCUCCGACAGUGAGGGACGAAGCCCUGGGGCGCAAACCGG
Molecule: ribosomal RNA, 253 nt
Filed under: uncultured bacterium
Lineage: Bacteria
Description: partial 16S ribosomal RNA
Rfam family: Archaeal small subunit ribosomal RNA
Source: RNAcentral